This 481-nucleotide ribosomal RNA is filed under the name uncultured bacterium. RNAcentral describes it as "partial 16S ribosomal RNA". It matches the Rfam family "Bacterial small subunit ribosomal RNA", at positions 28 to 507 of the family's 1533-position model. The record is from RNAcentral.
GAUGAACGCUGGCGGCGUGCUUAACACAUGCAAGUCGAACGAAGCACUUUAUUUGAUUUCCUUCGGGACUGAUUAUUUUGUGACUGAGUGGCGGACGGGUGAGUAACGCGUGGGUAACCUGCCUUGUACAGGGGGAUAACAGUUGGAAACGGCUGCUAAUACCGCAUAAGCGCUCAGCAUCGCAUGAUGCAGUGUGAAAAACUCCGGUGGUAUAAGAUGGACCCGCGUUGGAUUAGCUAGUUGGUGAGGUAACGGCCCACCAAGGCGACGAUCCAUAGCCGACCUGAGAGGGUGACCGGCCACAUUGGGACUGAGACACGGCCCAAACUCCUACGGGAGGCAGCAGUGGGGAAUAUUGCACAAUGGGCGAAAGCCUGAUGCAGCGACGCCGCGUGAGCGAAGAAGUAUUUCGGUAUGUAAAGCUCUAUCAGCAGGGAAGAUAAUGACGGUACCUGACUAAGAAGCACCGGCUAAAUACGUG